UAAAGAAUUUCGGUCAUCGAUGGGGAUGCGUUCCAUUAGCUUGUUGGCGGGGUAACGGCCCACCAAGGCAUCGAUGGAUAGGGGUUCUGAGAGGAAGGUCCCCCACAUUGGAACUGAGACACGGUCCAAACUCCUACGGGAGGCAGCAGUGAGGAAUAUUGGUCAAUGGGCGCUAGCCUGAACCAGCCAAGUAGCGUGAAGGAUGACUGCCCUAUGGGUUGUAAACUUCUUUUAUAUGGGAAUAAAGUGCAGUAUGUAUACUGCUUUGCAUGUACCUUAUGAAUAAGGAUCGGCUAACUCCGUGCCAGCAGCCGCGGUAAUACGGAGGAUCCGAGCGUUAUCCGGAUUUAUUGGGUUUAAAGGGAGCGUAGGCGGGUUGUUAAGUCAGUUGUGAAAGUUUGCGGCUCAACCGUAAAAUUGCAGUUGAUACUGGCAUCCUUGAGUACAGUAGAGGUAGGCGGAAUUCGUGGUGUAGCGGUGAAAUGCUUAGAUAUCACGAAGAACUCCGAUUGCGAAGGCAGCCUGCUGGACUGUAACCGACGCUGAUGCUCGAAAGUGUGGGUAUCAAACAGGAUUAGAUACCCUGGUAGUCCACACAGUAAACGAUGAAUACUCGCUGUUUGCGAUAUACAGUAA
Molecule: ribosomal RNA, 636 nt
Filed under: uncultured bacterium
Lineage: Bacteria
Description: bacterial SSU rRNA
Rfam family: Bacterial small subunit ribosomal RNA
Source: RNAcentral